Molecule: ribosomal RNA, 484 nt
Filed under: uncultured bacterium
Lineage: Bacteria
Description: partial 16S ribosomal RNA
Rfam family: Bacterial small subunit ribosomal RNA
Source: RNAcentral
GACGAACGCUGGCGGCGUGCUUAGCACAUGCAAGUCGAACGAUGAACCCGGAGCUUGCUCCGGCGGAUUAGUGGCGAACGGGUGAGUAACACGUGAGUAACCUGCCCUUGACUCUGGGAUAACUGCGGGAAACUGUAGCUAAUACCGGAUACGACCCUCGGCGGCAUCGCCAGGGGGUGGAAAGAAUUUCGGUCAAGGAUGGACUCGCGGCCUAUCAGCUAGUUGGUGAGGUAACGGCUCACCAAGGCGACGACGGGUAGCCGGCCUGAGAGGGUGACCGGCCACACUGGGACUGAGACACGGCCCAGACUCCUACGGAAGGCAGCAGUGGGGAAUAUUGCACAAUGGGCGCAAGCCUGAUGCAGCAACGCCGCGUGAGGGAUGACGGCCUUCGGGUUGUAAACCUCUUUUAGUAGGGAAGAAGCGAAAGUGACGGUACCUGCAGAAAAAGCACCGGCUAACUACGUGCCAGCCGCCGCAGUAA